This is a long non-coding RNA of Diachasma alloeum, 1270 nucleotides long. RefSeq lists it as uncharacterized. NCBI's taxonomy places the organism in Eukaryota, Metazoa, Arthropoda, Insecta, Hymenoptera, Braconidae. The transcript is spliced from 2 exons. The record is from RefSeq and is a predicted model, not a curated record.
CUUUCACUCUCCUCAGCAUAGUUACUCGCUAACUCGAACCCUUUCUGGUUCUGCCGCACACACGAGAGCUCGAAAAAUCUAUCAAUUAUCGUCGCAAGCUGCACAACUCAGUGCCUCCAGACGCCCCAGCUUCCUGACGAGAGAGAACGUUUGGAAAUUUUCCCCCUCGGCUUGUUCCUGCACCUUGCGUAUAUACUUUUAUAAACGACUCCAGCCACUCGAGUGUUUCACUUAUCACAAAUCUCUUCGAGUGCUGUACUACCGAACAAAUUUUUCAGGGGUAGAGAUAAAACAAAUUUUAUCUUCAUUUUUUUUUCGUUCGUAUCUUAAUGACAGUGGCAAAUGAAUACCUUUGAUGUCGGAGGGGGAGGGGGGGAUCAGUUUAGCACAGAAAUUGGUUUAUCUGAGUCAGAAGUUCAAGGAAAUCAUGAAUGAUAAUGUGACGUUGGGAAACAACGGUGAUUCCCGAUUCCAAAGUGAGCAGCUGAAUUAUUUGUCCAUAUGACUAAAAAAUCUAGUUCAGAAUCGUCAGAUGUUCCAGUAUUACGAAGGGAUCCCACAAAAUCAUCUUAUUGGUUGAACCUCAUGAAGAUCACCCUCGUCUCAAGUUUCACAUGGCCCCCAAGUUAAGCAUCACGCGUGUGGUGAUAAUGCAGUGUUGAAACAGGGAGACUGUCUUUCACAGGGACAGCAUCAGCGGAGGAACCUUUUCCUCUCCCACGUGCUCUCUUAUCCCCUGGACGUUCAGUGUGCCUCGGUAGGAGGCUGAAAAACACGUGUUACACUGAGAUUCUCCAUCGGGUUAUGUACGCGUGGGGCUAGAGAUACGAAACGAUGAGGAAUUCCUUCAUCAAUCAUUCAAACCUGCUCUAACACGGAUCGAAAACUCAAAAUAAUGAUGUAAUCGGCGCUAAAUUGUAGUCCUCAGAUGCUUUUGAAGGGAGAAAAUUCGACUAAACCCACCGUUAUGAAGGACACGAGAGGCUUUCAGGACAGGCUCAUUGAAAAAUAUCUACGCAACAUCAGCUGACGGAAGUCCCUCCUUUAUCAAGUACUGCUGUCUCUAUAAUGACAGAGGAAUUGCCAUACACUGUUACGAGGAUAGCAUACGUAAUUGUUUUGCCCUUAUUUCAAUCGAUUAUUCGCUGCCCUUCGACUCGCUCGAGACGUAUAUUGUCAUCAUUUUCUUUCAUGUUUUUCAUUCGUUAUGUAAAUUGUGGAGAAUUAAUUCUUAUUUUUCGGAACAAUACAAGAUUUUUUGUUGGAUGAA